RNAcentral lists this ribosomal RNA (167 nucleotides) under Pteropus pselaphon (Bonin flying fox). RNAcentral describes it as "partial 12S ribosomal RNA". Lineage: Eukaryota; Metazoa; Chordata; Mammalia; Chiroptera; Pteropodidae. The record is from RNAcentral.
ACACAUGCAAGUAUCMGCACCCCGGUGAAGAUGCCCUCUUAAUCACCAACGAUAAAGAGGAGCGGGUAUCAAGCACACUAUACAGUAGCUAAAGACGCCUUGCCUAGCCACACCCCCACGGGAUACAGCAGUGACAAAAAUUAAGCCAUGAACGAAAGUUCGACUAA